Molecule: ribosomal RNA, 492 nt
Filed under: uncultured bacterium
Lineage: Bacteria
Description: partial 16S ribosomal RNA
Rfam family: Bacterial small subunit ribosomal RNA
Source: RNAcentral
AGUGAACGCUGGCGGUAGACCUAACACAUGCAAGUCGAACGGCAGCACAGUAAGAGCUUGCUCUUACGGGUGGCGAGUGGCGGACGGGUGAGGAAUACAUCGGAAUCUACUUUUUCGUGGGGGAUAACGUAGGGAAACUUACGCUAAUACCGCAUACGACCUACGGGUGAAAGCAGGGGAUCUUCGGACCUUGCGCGAUUGAAUGAGCCGAUGUCGGAUUAGCUAGUUGGCGGGGUAAAGGCCCACCAAGGCGACGAUCCGUAGCUGGUCUGAGAGGAUGAUCAGCCACAAUGGAAAUGAGAAACGGUCCAGACUCCUAAGGGAGGCAGCAGUGGGGAAUAUUGGAAAAUGGGCGGAAGCCUGAUCCAGCCAUACCGCGUGGGUGAAGAAGGCCUUCGGGUUGUAAAGCCCUUUUGUUGGGAAAGAAAAGCAGCAGGUUAAUACCCCGCUGUUCUGACGGUACCCAAAGAAUAAGCACCGGCUAACUUCGUG